GGCUCAGGAUGAACGCUAGCGGCAGGCUUAACACAUGCAAGUCGAGGGUAUAGUUCUUCGGAAUUAGAGACCGGCGCACGGGUGCGUAACGCGUAUGCAAUCUACCUUUCACAGAGGGAUAGCCCAGAGAAAUUUGGAUUAAUACCUCAUAGUAUAGCAGUUUCGCAUGAAACCACUAUUAAAGUCACAACGGUGAAAGAUGAGCAUGCGUCCCAUUAGCUAGUUGGUAAGGUAACGGCUUACCAAGGCAACGAUGGGUAGGGGUCCUGAGAGGGAGAUCCCCCACACUGGUACUGAGACACGGACCAGACUCCUACGGGAGGCAGCAGUGAGGAAUAUUGGACAAUGGGCGCAAGCCUGAUCCAGCCAUGCCGCGUGCAGGAUGACGGUCCUAUGGAUUGUAAACUGCUUUAUACAGGAAGAAACACUACUUCGUGAAGUAGCUUGACGGUACUGUGAGAAUAAGGAUCGGCUAACUCCGUG
This 483-nucleotide ribosomal RNA is filed under the name uncultured bacterium. RNAcentral's name for it is "bacterial SSU rRNA". It matches the Rfam family "Bacterial small subunit ribosomal RNA", at positions 21 to 507 of the family's 1533-position model. The record is from RNAcentral.